This 22-nucleotide microRNA is filed under the name Sarcophilus harrisii (Tasmanian devil). RNAcentral's name for it is "Sha-Mir-8-P2b_5p* (star (passenger))". The record is from RNAcentral. RNAcentral also lists the same sequence under 2 other names. Lineage: Eukaryota; Metazoa; Chordata; Mammalia; Dasyuromorphia; Dasyuridae.
CAUCUUCCAGUGCAGUGUUGGA